Molecule: unclassified non-coding RNA, 311 nt
Organism: Colobus angolensis palliatus
Lineage: Eukaryota; Metazoa; Chordata; Mammalia; Primates; Cercopithecidae
Gene: 7SK
Rfam family: 7SK RNA
About the family: 7SK was discovered as an abundant small nuclear RNA in the mid-70s but a possible function has only recently been suggested. Two independent studies have found that 7SK RNA binds the CDK9/cyclin T complex (known as elongation factor P-TEFb). P-TEFb activates transcription by phosphorylating the C-terminal domain of RNA polymerase II.
Source: Ensembl
GGAUGCAAGGGUGAUGUGGCUGCAACAUCUGUGACCCCAUUGAUCUCCAGGGUUGAUUCAGCUGAUGUGGCUGGCUAGGCGGCUAUCCUCUUUGUCCCUCACCACUCCAUGGGUCUGCCUCCCUCCCAAAGCUGCAUGCUUAAUGGAAAAGGACAACCAUCCCCAAUGGAGGAAGACCAAUCUUCAGUCAAGGGUAUAUGAGUAGCUGCACUCCCCUGCUGGAACCUCCACCCAGGUUCUCAGAAGCUCAGGGAUGACAUGAAAGAGAACACACGGUCUCUUUUCACAGCUGUUCUUUUCUAAAAGCAGUC